Zea mays is the source of this 2241-nucleotide long non-coding RNA. RefSeq lists it as uncharacterized. NCBI's taxonomy places the organism in Eukaryota, Viridiplantae, Streptophyta, Magnoliopsida, Poales, Poaceae. The transcript has 2 exons. The record is from RefSeq and is a predicted model, not a curated record.
UCGAUGUGCAGUGGCCUGAUUAGCUACAAGAAGCUCUUGUUCCAUGGACUCGAUCUCUGGACCGCACUAUCGUUGCCUCAGCCCCUAGGUCGUGCUGCCCUCUGGCCUCCUCAUCGUACAAUUCACCAACAUCUCCAAUGUAAGUGCAGCAGGUUCAGUAAUGAACUCAGAAGUGGCAUCAGAAUACUCCAAGAGUUUUUUGAUCUUUUUGCCUGGAUAUAUACCAAGGGAAAUGCAUUCAAAACUCCUAUAGAUGACGAAUCCCAUCUCUCCCUCUUUUCUCGGACACGGAUCCCCAGGUCCGUCUCCGUGCUUUACUCAUUUGUUUUUUACAAGUUCAGAUCCACUUGCGUACUCACACGGUGGACAUCUGUUAUGCACAUGUGUAAACCAGCAUAAGUCCUUACACUCGAAAAUGCAUGUGUUAUUUAGCUUGAGAAUAAAUAAAAUUAUUAGCAAGGAGAAAACAAAAAAAUAGGACUAAACAAUAGAGUCACAUUGGUUUAAAUUAGUACCUAGAAGUAAAAAAAGAUGAUCUAAAUUAGAUACAUCAUACCAAAUACCAUAUUACUAUUCCAGUUACCCCGUCUACUAUGCCUAGAUAUCAAAUUCUUGAAGGUUGGCCUUCUCAUUUUCAGUAAUAGCCUGACGAAAGUAGAGUAUGUUUGUAUGAGCAAUUAUGCUGCUCACUACUGCCUUGCGCUAUAAUAGGCCACUACUGAUUUUACAUGCUUUUUCUACAUUAGAUAGCUCACAAACAUGCUACCUCAAAAAAAUGAUGGCAAAGGGGAGCCACAAAAUGUCAAUUAUUUUGUCAAGUAUUAGCAGUUUUCUUGUGUAUGUGAUCAGACUAACACUGCAUGUCUUUGUUUUCCUGUAAAACUAUGUAUGAUGAAACCAUGGUGUGAUUGUAUUGGCUGGCCUUACCCUGUUUUGUUGCAAUGCAUUCGUUGUUGUACAGGUAAUAUGUUGAAACACAAUUCAUUGCAUAUGACAAUUCUGUUUUUUCUUUCUAGAAUAUUGACAUAUUGUUUGAUCAUUAUUUUCUAAGCAAUAAUCAUGGCUAUUCUUAUAGUAUUGCAUAAUACCUUUUUCUUUUCGAACCCUAGCGCAUUGAUUCUUUAGUGAAGUGAUUAUAGUGAUUCCAGCGGGAGAGUAGGGUGGGGAGCAGAGGGUUGAUUCUGGACUGAUUUCGGUGGAGAUUAAAUGGGGAGCAGUGAGGAGCAUGUUUUUUUAGAUCCCACCAGAAUAUGUGCGCCAUUUUGCUAUUUGGCUGAGGAGUGAUGCUCAGGGAGAAUCCGUUCUCAGGAGCUGUGCCAAAUGUCGCCUUAGGUUUUAUGAUAUGACCUGACUUCUGUGUUAAUAUUUGUUAGAUCUUUAUUUUAUUUGAGGUUACAAAGGUGGUGUUCUCAAGCUAGAAACAAAGUUGUGGCUAGGUCAAAACUAGAUGAUGCUCUUGAACCGUGUCUUUUGACUCUGUUACUUGUUGCAGGUUUGAUGUUCACUAAUAUGUUGUUCAACUUUGAGCAGGUCAGCAAUUGACUGGUGUUGCUGGUAGCCUGGCAUAUCUGGCACCUGAGGUUCUACUAGGAAAUUACUCCCAAAAGGUAGAUGUAUGGGCUGCCGGGGUGCUUCUGCAUGUUCUGUUGAUGGGCACUCUUCCGUUCCAAGGAAAAUCUAUCGAAGCUAUCUUUGAUGUUAUAAAGACUGCUGAACUUGACUUUCACAAUAGUCAGUGGGCAUCUGUGUCACUUCUUGCUUAUGAUCUCAUUGGUCGAAUGCUUAAUCGAGAGGUCUCUUCAAGGCCCGAUGCCGAAGAUGUUCUCCGGCACCCAUGGGUCUUAUUCUACACUGAUUGCCUGCAGAAAGCUGAAUUCUCUAACCUAUGGGAUACUAACAAAACUGCAGCUCCCAUGAUUCAUCGGGAGAUAGUCAGGUUUGGUUACUGCGAGUCUUCAUCUUCAAAAUCCUCAAGUGACAACUCUGAAGAGCGAGAUGAAUGCGGUAUAGUUGAUGCACUGGCGACAACAAUAACACAGGUGAGGAUCUCAGAGCCCAAGAGGAGUCGGCUGUUCAGCCUACCCAACGGGUUGUUGCCGCCAAGCAGGAACAGUCUCCGAACAUGAAGAUGAUGAAUCCGUGUGUGGCUUUCUAACUUGACCUACCUAGCUCCCAUCCCCAUGCAUGUAUAAACGAGAUAAACGAGCUCUGUGAUUUUAUAGAUGGAAAAUUUUCACCGUG